UCCGUAGGGACCAAGCGUUGUUCGGAUUUACUGGGCGUAAAGGGCGCGUAGGCGGCCACCGCAAGUCAGUUGUGAAAUCUCUGGGCUUAACCCAGAACGGUCAGCUGAUACUGCGGGGCUAGAGUGCAGAAGGGGCAACUGGAAUUCUCGGUGUAGCGGUGAAAUGCGUAGAUAUCGAGAGGAACACCUGCGGCGAAGGCGGGUUGCUGGGCUGACACUGACGCUGACAGCGCGAAAGCUAGGGGAGCGAACGGG
Molecule: ribosomal RNA, 255 nt
Filed under: uncultured bacterium
Lineage: Bacteria
Description: partial 16S ribosomal RNA
Rfam family: Bacterial small subunit ribosomal RNA
Source: RNAcentral